RNAcentral lists this non-coding RNA (29 nucleotides) under Mus musculus (house mouse). Lineage: Eukaryota; Metazoa; Chordata; Mammalia; Rodentia; Muridae. The record is from RNAcentral.
UAAAAGUUUCAGAGCAGCACAGAGUGGGU